GCAUAUCAAUAAGCGGAGGAAAAGAAACCAACAGGGAUUGCCUCAGUAACGGCGAGUGAAGCGGCAACAGCUCAAAUUUGAAAUCUGGCCCUUGGGUCCGAAUUGUAAUUUGUAGAGGAUGAUUUUGGUGCGGUAUCUUCCGAGUUCCUUGGAACAGGACGCCUUAGAGGGUGAGAGCCCCGUACGGUUGAAUGCCCAGCCUCUGUAAAUCUCCUUCGACGAGUCGAGUAGUUUGGGAAUGCUGCUCUAAAUGGGAGGUAAAUUUCUUCUAAAGCUAAAUACUGGCCAGAGACCGAUAGCGCACAAGUAGAGUGAUCGAAAGAUGAAAAGCACUUUGAAAAGAGGGUUAAAUAGCACGUGAAAUUGUUGAAAGGGAAGGAUUUAUGACCAGACUUUUUCUGGGCGGAUCAUCCGGUGUUCUCACCGGUGCACUUUGCCCAGUUUAGGCCAGCAUCGAUUUUCGGAGAGGGAUAAAAGCUUUGGGAAUGUGACUCCUCCGGGAGUGUUAUAGCCCAUUGUAUAAUACCUUUCUGGGGAUCGAGGUACGCGCUUCUGCAAGGAUGCUGGCGUAAUGGUUAUCAAUCACCCGUCUUGAAACACGGACCAAGGAGUCGAACAUUUGUGCAAGUGUUUGGGUGUUAAACCCUCACGCGUAAUGAAAGUGAACGGAGGUGAGAGCCCUUACGGGUGCAUCAUCGACCGAUCCUGAAGUUUUCGGAUGGAUUUGAGUAAGAGCAUAACUGUUCGGACCCGAAAGAUGGUGAACUAUGCGUGGAUAGGGUGAAGCCAGAGGAAACUCUGGUGGAGGCUCGCAGCGGUUUCUGACGUGCAAAUCGCUACGUCAACUACUGCGCAUGGGGCGAAAGAC
This 868-nucleotide ribosomal RNA is filed under the name Seiridium podocarpi. Its description in RNAcentral is "LSU rRNA". It matches the Rfam family "Eukaryotic large subunit ribosomal RNA", at positions 38 to 931 of the family's 3401-position model. The record is from RNAcentral. Lineage: Eukaryota; Fungi; Ascomycota; Sordariomycetes; Amphisphaeriales; Sporocadaceae.